This 104-nucleotide microRNA precursor is filed under the name Marmota monax (woodchuck). It matches the Rfam family "mir-544 microRNA precursor family". Lineage: Eukaryota; Metazoa; Chordata; Mammalia; Rodentia; Sciuridae. The record is from RNAcentral.
AUACAAAUCACUGAGGGAUCUUGUUAAAAUGCAGAGACUGAAACUGUGUGUCUGGAAGAAGACUAAGAUCCUGCAUUUCUAAUCAGCUCCCAGGUGAUGUUGAG